CAGCCGCCGCGGUAAUACGAAGGGGGCUAGCGUUGCUCGGAAUCACUGGGCGUAAAGGGCGCGUAGGCGGAUUUCUAAGUCAGAGGUGAAAGCCUGGAGCUCAACUCCGGAAUUGCCUUUAAGACUGCCGAGCUAGUAGGUGAGAGAGGUAAGUGGAAUUCCGAGUGUAGAGGUGAAAUUCGUAGAUAUUCGGAAGAACACCAGUGGCGAAGGCGGCUUACUGGCUCAUUCUAGACGCUGAGGUGCGAAAGCGUGGGGAGCAAACAGGAUUAGAUACCCCAGUAGUCCCUGUCUCUUAUAC
This 301-nucleotide ribosomal RNA is filed under the name uncultured bacterium. Its description in RNAcentral is "partial 16S ribosomal RNA". It matches the Rfam family "Bacterial small subunit ribosomal RNA", at positions 509 to 807 of the family's 1533-position model. The record is from RNAcentral.